RNAcentral lists this long non-coding RNA (1079 nucleotides) under Mytilus galloprovincialis (Mediterranean mussel). The record is from RNAcentral. Lineage: Eukaryota; Metazoa; Mollusca; Bivalvia; Mytilida; Mytilidae.
CAGUGUAGGACACAGCCGGUCGCCUGGUCGCCAAAUGCGACCAAAACCUUUAUUGGGCGAUUAGAAACUGUAAAAAGAUAGAUAGUUACUGACCCAAAAAUUAAUCAUUGGGCGAGUGCAUUAUCAUUCUCAAAAUCGUAAAAUUUACUCCUAUAAAUAACACACCCCAAUUUCGGAACAAUCAUUUUCGGAAAUCCUCUGGUCACAUCGUUAAAACGUACAAGUUGAGGAGGUGUUCCAUAAUUGGAAGGAUAUACAUAUAGAAGAAGAAUAAGUGCAAUGCAUAGAAUAUUAAAAUGGCGGAUUACAAACACGUCGUGCGUGAUAUUGCUUGUUUAGUGGGUCAAAAAAGGCUCUACCGGCAAUGGUGGUCGCUAAACAAAUUGUGUUUAAUAAAAGAUAACGACAGUCAUUGACUGUAAAAUCUCGUCUGACCCACUAAACCAAACAAGGACAAGGGAUUUUUUGAAAAGAACUCCGGAACACGGAUACAACUGAGAAGCUGUCAAAAUAUUUUUCAUACGAACCCCCAAGGACAGAAACAAGUGAUAAGAAAAUAUUACGUUUAUAAAAUGUCUUUUGAUUUUGUUUUGCACUGACAUUUUGUACUGAAAUACAAACUUUUGAAAUGACUGACCGGAUAAGAUAUCGCGGAAAUUCCCAGUACUAAUUUUAAUAGAUCAAUUCGCAGAAAACUGUUUAAUUUUAAACGAAACAACAAAAUCUUCACCGAUGGACACGACAUCACUAUGCAACCAAAACGGUAAUGAAACUUCACUUUUCGCUACUCUCACGAAAUGAGAGGUAAUUUUUUCCUCUUCAAACCCCUAUAUUGAUCUAUAUAAGGCACUAGACAGUGAGGUUUCAUUAAUUCAGUGACAAUGAAGACUGGGAAUGUGGUUUUUUUGUGUUAUGUGUCGGCAAGGUUUGAUUGAAGAAUUAAGAACAUCAAUUUAUAUUGAUUUUUUUUCAUUUUUUAUGGCUCAACACGAAAAAAAAAUUGAGUAAAAUAAUUGGGCUACCAAUUGGCAUUUUGGGCCUGUGAAGUAAUUUUUUUACUGGCCCAAAAAAAAAUUUUC